AUGGAUGCGGGGGGUCCUAGCCCGAAGCGGAGGAGACCGGCCUCGCCCGGUGUGGAAGAAGACGGAGGAUGCGCCGACUACAUCAGCGCCCUCCCCGACGCCGUGCUCGGCGACAUCAUCUCCCUCCUCCCCACCAAGGAAGGCGCCCGCACCCGAAUCCUCGCGUCCCGGUGGCGCGACCUCUGGCUCUCCGCCCCACUUAAUCUCGACUGCCGUGAGCUCACCGCCGGCAGGAACGAAGUCCGUUCCGACGUCGUCUCGCGCAUCCUUUCCUCCCACCGGGGACCCGGCCGUCGUCUCUACAUCAACACCUGCAUCCACUGGAUACCAGCAGACACCGUGGAAGCUUGCCUCCGAUCCGCCGCUCUGGACAACCUUGAGGAGCUUGAUUUCAUCAACCAUCUGUUAGAGAAACCACAGCGGGCAUUGAUCCUCCGCUUCUCGCCCACCCUCCGUGUUGCCAACAUUGGUGGAUGCAACCUCUCGGACGUCAACUUCCAUGAGCUUCACCUUCACUUCCCCCUGCUUAAGCUGCUCGGUCUUGUAAAUGUCAUGAUCUCGGAGAGCUCGCUGCAUAGCCUGAUUGCCGGGUGCCCAGCUCUCGAGUGCUUGCUGAUUGACAUGUGCUCUGGCUUCCGCCGCAUCCAAAUAAACUCCCCAACUAUUAGAUGCAUGGCUGUGAGAGAAUAUGGGAUACCGAUAGAGUCACUGCUGCUUGAACAAAUCGUCAUUGAGAAAGCUCCUUGUCUUGUGAGGCUGCUCUUUGAGAGGGGCAGUAUUCUGCAGGUAACCGUACUCGCAGCUCCUAAACUGGAGACUUUAGGCUUCAUUAGUGAUAAGUGCAGGUCAGGUGAAUUGUCCAGACUCAUGAUUGGCUCCACUGUUAUUCAGGUAUGCCCUGUGGUUUCUCAGUUGCAUUUCUAUGUGCAGAAAAAUUGCCUAUCACCUGACCUGUGCACUGGCCUAAUAUUGUGGCUUUCAUACUUGAUAAAGGGAUUGCGUGUUGAUAACCUGAUAACAGUGGUACAAACUGUCAAGAUUUUGGCUCUUGAUAUGCACAAUCUUAGUUUGGAUACUGUUAUUGAGUUGAUGAGAUGCUUUCCAUGCUUGGAGAAGUUGCACAUUCAGUCAUUUCAAUCAAGACCGGGGAAUUUGUGGCGUCGUAAACACCGGAAUCUGUUAAGAUGUUUUGACAUGAGUCUGAAGACGUUAGUGUUACAACUAUAUCGGGGGAAGAAGUCGCAGAUUAACUUUCUUACAUUCUUUGUAUUGAAUGCGAAAGUGCUAGAGUCAGUGACACUUGGCAUCACAACCAGGAAUAACAAUGAGAAGUUCUUGGCAGAACAACGCAGGAAGCUUGAGCUGGAGAACAGGGUUUCCAGAGAUGCUCAGUUUCAUUUUAUAACAGGUAGUUGUGUCCGCAGUUCUUAUGAUAUCAAGCAUAUUGGUGAUUUGGAUUUAACUGAUCCAUUCGCACAUAUGUAG
Molecule: ribosomal RNA, 1485 nt
Filed under: Triticum aestivum (bread wheat)
Lineage: Eukaryota; Viridiplantae; Streptophyta; Magnoliopsida; Poales; Poaceae
Description: partial small subunit ribosomal RNA
Source: RNAcentral